GAGGGUAUAGCUCAGUGGUAGAGUGCAUGCCUAGCAUGCACAAGAUCCCAGGUUCAGUCCCAGGUACCUCCA
RNAcentral lists this transfer RNA (72 nucleotides) under Camelus bactrianus (Bactrian camel). It matches the Rfam family "tRNA". Rfam says of the family: Transfer RNA (tRNA) molecules are approximately 80 nucleotides in length. Their secondary structure includes four short double-helical elements and three loops (D, anti-codon, and T loops). RNAcentral also lists the same sequence under 2 other names. The record is from Rfam by way of RNAcentral. Lineage: Eukaryota; Metazoa; Chordata; Mammalia; Artiodactyla; Camelidae.